AUGAUCUAAAGGUUUUUGUAAUUUUAAAGCUGCUAUAGUUAGAAGAUAACUAAACAUUAUAGGAACCAAGUUUGCUUUUUUUUAUAUAGUUAGAAGAUUUAUAUAUGCAAACAAAAAGGGUUAUAAAAUCAAAAUUCAAAAUGAAGCAAGUGGUCCAAAUGCAUUGACCACAUAAACACUUUAAUAACCAAAAUAUAGGAUUUUUGUAAGACUCUCAAGUCUGACGCACAACAGUUUAUGUUAUUUAUAGAGUUGACUGUACCAUUAAAGAUUUCAAAAAAAUUAGAUCUUUAUUAGGUUCAUUUGUUGUUACACUCCUCCUUCUAUAUAAUAAUAACCUCCACUCCUCUCUAUGAGCAGCAAUGUGAAAGAUAUGGUCCAAGUGAAGUCAAACCCAACAAAUGAGCCUAGUCAACAACCACAACACAAAAAGACAAAGACCAGAAAAGUUUCACCGGCUGAGAGUAUCUCCAACAGUAAUGUCUUGAGGAAUAUCUUAAGAUUAAAAAAAUAAAAAAUAAUAAAAAAGUAGGAGAGAGUGUAGACACAGUUUCUGGUUUGAGAAACUUUGAGAAACUGUGUUUCCACUUGUCAUUUUAUUAUUGGUCAAAUUCUUUUUUUAUAAUUUAUAAUUUAAAUAAAUAAUUUAUUUAUUAUAAAUUGAUUAAAAUAAUAUUUUUGAUACACCCACACAGUGUCACAUAAACUCCCCUCUGAUCGCGGAAGCUGUGGCGGCCCUUCUCGCGUUGCAACACGCCCGAAACCUUGGUUUCACAUAGCUCUCUCUUGCUUCUGACUCGUCUCAACUCGUCAAAGCACUUCAAUCGGAGCUUCAAGUAAAGGAACUCCACGGGAUUCAAUUCGACAUCCUUGAUCUAUGUUUAAGUUUCUCUGCAAUUUCUUUUCGCUUUAUCCCACGAUCUCAAAACACUGUAGCGGAUUCGUUGGCCAAGGAGGCCUUACUCUCCUUUGUACUGGGCCUGGCCCAACUCUAGUUUUCAAUUGAAUCAUCCAUCCUUUGCACAAAAAAAAAAAUUUGUAAGCGUUAUGAUUGCAUUGGAGAGGUUUACUUGUCCGUUCAUUUUUUGAAUUCAAAUAAUGGGAGUUCAAACACUUAGAAAUAUCAGCAUUACUAUAUAUAUACUACUAGUAUUCAUUUGUUUAACAUAUAUGGAUGGUCGAUUAUUUUUUUGUUAAUCAACGCCGAAGGGUAAAGAGCUCAUGUUUUUUUCGUGAUGUAGCCUAAAGAUUAAUAUAAGUUUAUUGCAAAAAAAAAUAAUGAAAAAUCACUUCUAUUAAUUUUGUUAACAUGCAAGGUCAAAUUACUUUUCACUCUCUAUCUCAUUUCUCGUCAUGCAUAUAUGUUCGCAAGAAUCUCCAAUGUUGAUAUAUUCACCUAUCUCAACUCAUAUUUACGUAAUGUAAUUUCUUGUAAUUUGCCAGUUCAUCUCUACUCGAAAAUGCCCAAUCCUAAUAACAUAGAGGUGUGCUGAAAAAUAAUGGGAGAAUUAGCCUCAUAAUAUUUUGCGUAAGAGUAACUUGGAAGACGUACAUUGACCAAGGUAUUAUGAUUUUUGUCAGUUAAUGGCACCCCAUUGGACCAACAAAUUAAGCAAUCCCCGCAUUCCUUUAAUUUAAUCGUAACAAUAUGUAUUAAACUAAAUAUACAUGCACAACAAUUAAUUUCAAAUACAUUAAAAAAACGCACAAGUCAUAACAAUGAUUAUUCGAGUUUAUUACUCCAUAUGCGACUAUGAACAUUUUAAUAAACUUCGACAUCAAAGAAGCUGAGACAUGCAUGCCGAAACAAGCAUUCCUCUUCUGACUUCUCUCGUCCACAAUUUUUUUUUAUUUUUUGAAUACUAAGGUGUUAAAUUAUUAUAUCUAAUUAAUUAUAGCAAAUAAUUGAAGGUAUAGGUCGAGGUUUUCAUUAAAGAAACAAUAGGCUCUCUAAUUCUAUAGAUCAAUUAUUGACCACUCGAGGAUUUACAUUAUAUUUCAUGCAUGUAUAUUUGUUAGAAGUAAACUGUUUUUUCUUGUUUUCAUUUCUAGUAAGAAAUUCUUAGUCCUAGUUUUAUUUUUGUCUUAAAAGCUUACUUGAAUAGUUAAAAAGUUCAAUACUUAUCAAAAAAAUAUUUAUACUAAUAUUACACAAAAAAAAAUAUGUAAAAAUAUAUAGUUAAAAGUUCAAACUAAAAAUAGAUGCUUUGAGAUAUUUGAGUGCACAUUACUUUAAAUUUGAUGGGAAAUCUGUAAACCAGUAAUUCUCUAUCUGCAGGAUAAUUAAUUUGUGUGUGGAGUGGUUAGAUUUCGAAGUCAACAGUUUAGUCAAAGUGCUGUCAGAAAAAUUACAUGCGGGGGCUGUAAGAAAUAAUACAUUUACAUGGAUUACAAAAACAGUUUUUAAGAAGAAAAAAAAGUGGUUUACCAAAAAAAAAAAGUGACGCUUUCAAAUUAUUUAAAAUAGAAAAGUGUUUUAUGGGUUUAUACUUUAUAGAAUAUUACACACAUUAAGAUCUAAUAUUGUUGCAUCUAAUAAUAUUUAUACUUCAGAGAUUUCAAAAUGUAGUGUUAUUUAAUCAAUAUUUUAAAUAUUUCAUAAAAUCUAGUAUUGUUCAAAAGUAUAACAUUUAAUUAAUAUUUUGAUACAUAAAUCUAUCUUUACUAUACUAUAAAUCUAGUAGAUUAGUCCAACAUCCUUAUUAAACCACCUCUCAAUGAAAAAUUAAAAUAGACCAAAAAAUUACAUCAGAAAUAUUAAAUGAUGAAUAAUAUAAGCAACUUCUUAAUGAUACACAACACCAAUCCUAGUUUUUCUAAUUUUUGUAACUUUUUUUUUUAUUUGUUUCUACCAAACUUAUCCAAAUAUAAAUUGAUAGAAACUAACAGAUAACUAAACAAUGCCACAAAAAUCUUUAUCAACCAUUGGAUUACUAGGGUGUUGGAUUUAUAUAUUUAUUGGUUAUUUAUGUAUUAGAAAAUGCAAAGCAACAUUCAAUUGUAAGUUUGUAACAUGCAUCUAACACCAAUAUCUUUUACUAAACUUUUGUAAUCCCUUAAACACUUUAAAAUGCUAAUUCAAAUUAAAAAUACAUUACACGUGAUACAUAGUUUUAAAAACAGUAGACUUAUAGCUCAUUUUCGUAACGCAUAUAUAUAUUAAAAUUUACCAAAAUUUACCAUUUCGAGUAAGAGAAUCUUUUUAAAAAUAAUUUUCAAUUUCAUUAAUUAAGAAACAAUGAAUUUAAUGAAAUGUAUAUUUUAUUAAAUUCCCAUAAAGUAUAUAUAAUUAAAAUAAUGCCACGUAAAUCUUUCUCCGCCGUUCGAUAAUCAAAUACUUUCUUGAUUAAAAAUGUAUUCAGAAAAUGUUAAACCAACAUUUAUCUAUAAACAAAGAGAGCCUCAUAUGUGUAAAAAUCUUCUUCUUAUCUUUCUUUCUUUCUUAAUAGAGUCUUUAAUUUUUACUCAAUUAGCUUUGGUAAUUUGUGAAAAAAACAACCAAUGAGAGAAGAGCAGUUUGACUGGCCACAUAGCCAAUGAAAUUAGCCAAUGGGAAAGAGAUAUAGAGACCUCGUAAGAACCGCCUCCUUUGCCAUUUGUAUCAUCUCUCUAUAAAACCACUCAACCAUCAACCUUUCUUUACAUGCAACAAAUCACUCAAAUAAUUAUUUUAUAAAGAACAAAAAAAAAAAGACGGCAGGGAAACAAUGGAACGUGGAGCUUCCUUCUCUCACUAUCAGCUACCCAAAUCCAUCUCUGUUAAUCUAAGUGGCUAUUUAUAUACUUGCCUCCAUGUAUAUUUAUAUGCUCAUGAAAAAUUGGAGACUUGCUUUUUGAUUUUUAUGAGUCUUUUCAACAAAGAAGUAGAGGCUUUCUUUCUCGAAAAUUAAUUUUAGAAUUUGUGAAGGUUUUGGGAAUGGCUCUGAAAAGACGAUUUUAUACAUGCAUGCAAGAGUUUGAUAUGUGUAUUGUCUCAUCAUGACUGAGUCAAAGUUUGAUUCAAAUAUUUCCAUGGUGUGGUAGAAAUUAAACAAAUCUUUCAUAUGUGUUCAUUGAAUAUUCCCGUGCAUGCACGAGGAAUGUUUUUGAGUAUCAAUUUUUUUGUUUUAUUUUUUUUUGUUUUUCGAUUCUAAAAACGUAGGGGAGGGGAUUUUAUUGGUUUUCUCUAUGAGUUUUCUCGUUGUAACGGUUGAGUUUUUUUUUUUUCCGUUUCAAAAUGAGAUUCUCGUUUCUCUGCCUUUAUCUAAAAGCAUCUACAGUAAAUUAAAAGACACUAAAAAACAAAAAAUUAAAAGACACUGAAAUUUUUUUAUACUUAAUAAACAUUUAAGUAUAUAUAAACAGUCUUACUAGUCCCAAGUUUUACAAUUCAAAAUUUAUUAGUAAUUGUUUUUUGGAAAAAAUCUAAGUGAAUUUUUGUCCAAAAUUUUCCUUUUACUGUGUUUAUUCUAGUGGGUGUCAUUAACUUUAAUCUUGUGAUUCUUUUAACGUUUACCAUUGGGAACCUUCACAUGAAAUAAAUGUCUACUUUAUCGAGUCAUACCUUCUUCUCCGUAAAUUAAUUGAUGUUCUUCUUCAAAAUUUGAGUUUCUGUUUUUUGUAAUAAACUAAACGAAAGAAUUUGGGAAUACGUGUUUAUACAAUUAUACUUUUAAAGUUAUAUUUAUGUCAAAAUUUAAGUAUUUCGAGAAGAGGAAAGAUCCUUUUGACAUUUUUGUUCUAUAGUUAUUACUUAUUAGAAACGUAACGGCAAGAAUCUGAACAGUACCUACUCAACGGGGUCCAUAAGUCUAGUCAACAAAUGUAGUUGACUAUGUCCAGGCCAAAAACGUACGGUUAUUAUUAACCAUAGUUAAUAGUUAAAAGUUAACCAUGGUUCGGUUAACAUUAAACCCUUUUUCCUCUUUUAACAAACCCCAAAACCUUUCUUCAGAUUUUCUCUCUGCUUUUCACAAUCGUCGUCUCAAUUUUUUCCUGCAAAAUUCCGAUCGCCAUGGAUGAUGGAGCUGUUGAGAUACGUGAAGAGCAACGUCGAUUGAUCGUGGCCCAGCAGCAACCACCAUGUAUGGCUCGUGAACAAGACCAGUACAUGCCAAUCGCAAACGUCAUAAGAAUCAUGCGUAAAAUCUUACCGUCGCACGCUAAAAUCUCUGACGACGCCAAAGAAACGAUUCAAGAAUGUGUCUCCGAGUACAUAAGCUUCGUGACCGGUGAAGCCAACGAGCGUUGCCAACGUGAGCAACGUAAGACCAUAACUGCUGAAGAUAUCCUUUGGGCUAUGAGCAAGCUUGGGUUCGAUAACUACGUGGAUCCCCUCACCGUGUUUAUUAACCGGUACCGUGAGAUAGAGACCGAUCGUGGGUCGGCACUUAGAGGUGAGCCACCGUCGUUGAGACAGGCCUAUGGAGGAAAUGGUAUUGGGUUUCACGGCCCACCACAUGGCCCAUCUCAUGGCCUACCUCCUCCUGGUCCUUAUGGUUAUGGUAUGUUGGACCAAUCCAUGGUUAUGGGAGAUGGUCGGUUCUACCAAAACGGGUCGUCGGGUCAGGACGAAUCAAGUGCUGGUGGUGGCUAUUCGUCUUCCAUUAACGGAAUGCCGGCGUAUGACCAAUAUGGUCAGUAUAAGUGAAGAUGGAAUUAUUCUUCAUUUUUAUGUAUAUCGAUUCAAAACAUGUGUUUGAAUAGAUAUUUUAUCUUUGUAUUAUCAAUAACAUUUCUAUAUAUAAUGUUGCUCCUUUUAAGGAAAAGUGUUGAGUUUCAAUACUUUUCGAGAACUGAUUUAUAUAUGCAAAUGAAAAAGUGUUUUUGGAUGAAACUCUAUGCAAUAUUACAUGAUCUAAAGGUUUUUGUAAUUUUAAAGCUGCUAUAGUUAGAAGAUAACUAAACAUUAUAGGAACCAAGUUUGCUUUUUUUUAUAUAGUUAGAAGAUUUAUAUAUGCAAACAAAAAGGGUUAUAAAAUCAAAAUUCAAAAUGAAGCAAGUGGUCCAAAUGCAUUGACCACAUAAACACUUUAAUAACCAAAAUAUAGGAUUUUUGUAAGACUCUCAAGUCUGACGCACAACAGUUUAUGUUAUUUAUAGAGUUGACUGUACCAUUAAAGAUUUCAAAAAAAUUAGAUCUUUAUUAGGUUCAUUUGUUGUUACACUCCUCCUUCUAUAUAAUAAUAACCUCCACUCCUCUCUAUGAGCAGCAAUGUGAAAGAUAUGGCCCAAGUGAAGUCAAACCCAACAAAUGAGCCUAGUCAACAACCACAACACAAAAAGACAAAGACCAGAAAAGUUUCACCGGCUGAGAGUAUCUCCAACAGUAAUGUCUUGAGGAAUAUCUUAAGAUUAAAAAAAUAAAAAAUAAUAAAAAAGUAGGAGAGAGUGUAGACACAGUUUCUGGUUUGAGAAACU
RNAcentral lists this long non-coding RNA (6399 nucleotides) under Arabidopsis lyrata. RNAcentral describes it as "long non-coding RNA (ALYR_LNC003053)". Lineage: Eukaryota; Viridiplantae; Streptophyta; Magnoliopsida; Brassicales; Brassicaceae. The record is from RNAcentral.